This 1652-nucleotide long non-coding RNA is filed under the name Olea europaea subsp. europaea. The record is from RNAcentral. Lineage: Eukaryota; Viridiplantae; Streptophyta; Magnoliopsida; Lamiales; Oleaceae.
GACAUUUCUACCACUUCUCCUGUUUUGAUCACCCCUGUGUCAAUUAGGAGUCCUUCCUCUUUUGCUCGUGCUAAACAGUCUGUUCGUCCAUCUAUUUCUCUUCCUACCAAGCCCACUGCAGCUAAAAGUGCCCCAAGUCGCAAACGACCAUCCUCAUCAUCUCCCAUUUUGGAGGAUGAUGAUGAUGAUGACACUUCUCUCAUCGUUAGAAGAAAGAUAAUUAAAUUAGUUUACUCACAAGCAUACCUUUCUAUACUUGAAACUUUUAUAUGUGCUGAUGGUUUAUUCGGAUUUCUCAGAAAAGUUCAGCCUCUCCUUUGAAGGCUUUGGUGUUGGCAGCUCCUGCUCCAUCAUCCUCUGCUGAGGCUGCUUCAUCCAAAUCAGCUGAUGAAGGGACUACGCUUAAAGAGAAACCUUCAGUCCCGGAAUCCUCGUCACAAUCAAUGGAUGAGCCACAUUCUUCUCAGGACGUCAACCCCCCAAACGUCGAACCAGAAGGUAAUACAUUUUUGAUGUUUUACCUUUGCUUGUACUAUUGAUUUUUGAUUUGUAGCUUUUUAAGUUCUGCAGAUGCUCCUAUGGGUUUGUCCGUUGUGGCAAAGUCUUCUCGCCCAAAUAAGGGGAAGUCCUCACAAGUGGUGGAAUCACAGGUGGUAGACUUGGUUGGGGAUAUGCCACCUCCCAAGAUUGCUGAUGAGGUAAUUUUUGCUUCACUUUUACUUCCACUUUAUUUACUGUAGUGAAAACUUUCAAUAUUGGCAAUUUUCUUUGCAAGAUGCUGAUAAGAUUGUGCGUUCCAUUCAGGAGUUGUUCACUUCCUAGUGGCAAGUCAAGACGUCUCACCCUGCUUCAACCAGUCGUCCUUCUGCUUUUUCAGAGGAAGAUAUGAAGUUCCUCAAGCAGUCAAUAUUUGAGUAUGUGUCCUUUAUGGAUAUGGACAUCGGUCAGGCUAGUGCUACCAAACAUAAGGAUAAGCUUGAACAUUUGAGUGCGAAGUUGGCGCAAGCACUGACACUUCCGUCGCUCAAACUUUCUGCUGAUUUUAAAGCGACGUUGAAAGUUGUCCAUUCCGAGAGUCUCUUCUUGCUGGCCAAAAAUGUUGAUUUGAAGGCCAAAAGUACUCAAUAUCUUCACGCUGUAUCUGAAAGAGAGUCUUUUCUUCUGGAGAUUAACAAAAUUGAGGACGAAUUGAAAGAAAUCUCUUCCGAAUUUACGAUUGAAAACUCUUUGAUGACCAAUUUGGCUGCACAGAUGAAGAAGCUUCAAACAAGGAUGGACGACUGCAAGGCGAGAAUGGCUGCUAAAAAACGUAAUGCCUCCCAAGGAAUUGAGUUAACCAAGUCUUUGGUCGAGCAGUACAAGAAGCUGGAGGUUUAUGAUAAUUUUGUGGCUGAAUUGAAUGUCACUUCUUCUCAGCAGAGCGAGGAUUGAGGGAGACUUAGGGAAAAAAUUCGUUCAGUUUGGGGCGAAUUGUAAUUAAGACAUCUAAUGCAUUAACUUUUCUUUUUGUAAUUUCGUAUUAACUUUCCCCUUGUAAUCUCGUACUGAUGUCCAUUGGUAAUUCUGAACAUACCAGCAGUCAUUAUUAUUAAUGAACGAUUAAUUUGUCUUCUUGUGUAUUUAUUAACGUUGUCUGUAAUCGUCAACUCCCA